UCGAUAUUGAAUUCAACCACAGCCCUGGUUUGCCAUUCCCAGGCCAUAAAGCAACGUUGUUGUUGCCCACGAAUUCGAGCCUACCAUCGAAGUUUUCAAACAGAACAUCCUGGAAUCCAUAAAGCUGGUCACUGAAAUCUGCCAUGGUCAUCAUGAGGAAAAUAGCGAACACCCUUCGAGACACCAACACGUCCUCGCCGGUCUUUAUGUGCUUCACUGUAAGCCCAUUUUCAGGCACCAGUCCGCGUAUCUUAUUCCUCCAAGCGUCGUCUUCAUUAAAAACGCCCUUUUCUUUGGCGUUCUUCAACGAAACCUCGGAGGCCGCAAGGUGUUCGACGAUUUCCGAAUCCGUAUAUUUGAACAAAAGGUCAUCGUGGAUCAAAGGUUGCCUAGGGACGACGCAGAACAAAUGGAUUAAACGCUCUGCGGCGUCGCCGACGUGGCCUCGAACGACGUCGCGGCCGGUUGAAG
Molecule: long non-coding RNA, 471 nt
Filed under: Gossypium barbadense (sea-island cotton)
Lineage: Eukaryota; Viridiplantae; Streptophyta; Magnoliopsida; Malvales; Malvaceae
Description: long non-coding RNA (GBAR_LNC012234)
Source: RNAcentral